ACACCUCAGUCAUGUCAACUGACAUAAGAACUCGGUCACAUCGUCGCAACAAUCAAAAUGCGCAUAUUUUCGGCCAGCGGUUAAUUACUGUCUGUUGAUGGUCACUGUAGCGUGCACGAGGAAAUGUAUCACUUUACAAGUAGCUGCUCGGCUAGCGAGGUAUUCGAGCUGUCAUCGAUUUAUAAUGUGUAAAGACACCACGUAGUGACAAAAUCUCACACGCAAGGCGCUUGCUACUGGGUCAUCACUUUUUGUAGUCACCAACACCAUUGGAAAAGCGUUCGCCCAUCCAGGGUCGAGUACAGCGCUCUGACACAAGUAAAGUGGCAUUGAAAUAGGUUUGCCGCUACCCGACCCUGAUGUGAUUUCACGAAAAAACUUCCACAUACCGCCUGUUACUCAUUGAAGUGAAUGCAGUAGUAAAAAUGCCUGUCCAAGUGCAAUUUACAUCGCAAAUCACACAUGUAGUCACACUGUUCCGGGCAAUCACAGAUACCGAGACAUAAUAUGCUCCUGAAUUUGAAAAAUGAAAAAAAUGGAAAAACAACUUACUAUAUGAGAUUCUAUACAAUUGAAAUAUAAUAAAGAAAAUGUAGACUUCUACGUCCGCUUGUCUGUCGUGAUUUACUUCAUAUGAUCGGUCAAAGCCGUUAUGGGGAGCAUUUAAACGGUUGUUGUCGCCACUUGAAAAUAGGUACGUACAGUAGUAUUUGACGCGAUAUUUAAAAACCAAGUGAAUUGGCGAGGGUGCAAAGAAGCAUUGUAAUGCACAUCGACGGUGCACUGCUUCUUUUGUUGUAACGGUCUCUUCAAAGGAGCAGGCAAGUCAACGUUUCUGUGCCACUCUGUUGUGUAAUUAGAAAAUAUUUAAUCCUGUGUUUCUUCGCGCAGGAAGGACAAAGGAUAAGGAGGAGAACAAAUCUUGAUGUUUUACCUACUUUCCGGAAGGACGACGACUUAACAUUCUCUUCCAUAGGAUUCGCAAGAACGACGCAACAUGCCAUACAGCCAACGAAACAACCGAUGUUCUGCGAACAAUCUUCGGAAAUCGAAUAAUCAGCUGAAAUGGUGAUGUGACUUGGCCUCCGAGAAGCUGCGAAUUGAAGCAGUUUGAUUUCUUUGGGGAGCGGUUAAAGAUAAAUGUUACGCCAACCAUACGGAAACAAUUGAAGACCUCAAGCGCGUAAUUCAAGUUGCUGUUGAUGAUUUGAGGCCAGAAACAAUUGAAAAUAUACCUAAAAAUUGAGUUGAUCGAAUUGGCUACUGCCAAGCUAGUCGUAGGUCUCAUUUGAACGAAAUCAUUUUUCAUAAAAAAAUUCAUGAAUCAACCUUUCUAAUA
This is a long non-coding RNA of Malaya genurostris, 1339 nucleotides long. RefSeq lists it as uncharacterized. The record is from RefSeq and is a predicted model, not a curated record. The transcript is spliced from 3 exons. Lineage: Eukaryota; Metazoa; Arthropoda; Insecta; Diptera; Culicidae.